GAUCCUGGCUCAGGAUGAACGCUGGCGGCGCGCCUAACACAUGCAAGUCGAACGGACGAUGAAGAGCUUGCUUUUCAAAGUUAGUGGCGGACGGGUGAGUAACGCGUGGGUAACCUGCCUCAUACAGGGGAAUAGCAGCUGGAAACGGCUGAUAAAACCGCAUAAGCGCACAGUGCCGCAUGGCACAGUGUGAAAAACUACCGGUGGUAUGAGAUGGACCCGCGUCUGAUAG
This 232-nucleotide ribosomal RNA is filed under the name uncultured bacterium. RNAcentral describes it as "partial 16S ribosomal RNA". It matches the Rfam family "Bacterial small subunit ribosomal RNA", at positions 15 to 243 of the family's 1533-position model. The record is from RNAcentral.